UCGUAACAAGGUUUCCGUAGGUGAACCUGCGGAAGGAUCAUUACCGAGUGCUGGGCCCUCUGGGUCCAACCUCCCACCCGUGUCUAUUGUACCUUGUUGCUUCGGCGGGCCCGCCGUUUUCGAACGGCCGCCGGGGAGGCCUCGCGCCCCCGGGCCCGCGCCCGCCGAAGACCCCAACAUGAACGCUGUUCUGAAAGUAUGCAGUCUGAGUUUGAUUAUCAUAAUCAGUUAAAACUUUCAACAACGGAUCUCUUGGUUCCGGCAUCGAUGAAGAACGCAGCGAAAUGCGAUAAGUAAUGUGAAUUGCAGAAUUCAGUGAAUCAUCGAGUCUUUGAACGCACAUUGCGCCCCCUGGUAUUCCGGGGGGCAUGCCUGUCCGAGCGUCAUUGCUGCCCUCAAGCACGGCUUGUGUGUUGGGCCCCCGUCCCCGGUUCUCCCCGGGGACGGGCCCGAAAGGCAGCGGCGGCACCGCGUCCGAUCCUCGAGCGUAUGGGGCUUUGUCACCCGCUCUGUAGGCCCGGCCGGCGCCAGCCGACACCCCAACUUUAUUUUUCUAAGGUUGACCUCGGAUCAGGUAGGGAUACCCGCUGAACUUAAGCAUAUCAAUAA
RNAcentral lists this unclassified non-coding RNA (609 nucleotides) under Aspergillus hiratsukae. Its description in RNAcentral is "sequence contains 18S rRNA gene, ITS1, 5.8S rRNA gene, ITS2, 28S rRNA gene". The stretch from base 233 to 386 matches the Rfam family "5.8S ribosomal RNA". Lineage: Eukaryota; Fungi; Ascomycota; Eurotiomycetes; Eurotiales; Aspergillaceae. The record is from RNAcentral.